GGGCGAAAGCCUGACGGAGCAAUACCGCGUGAGGGAGGAAGGCUCUUGGGUCGUAAACCUCUUUUCUCAGGGAAGAAAAAAAUGACGGUACCUGAGGAAUAAGCAUCGGCUAACUCCGUGCCAGCAGCCGCGGUAAUACGGAGGAUGCAAGCGUUAUCCGGAAUGAUUGGGCGUAAAGGGUCCGCAGGUGGAACUGAAAGUCUGCUGUUAAAGAAUCUGGCUCAACCAGAUAAAAGCAGUGGAAACUACAGAACUAGAGUACGUUCGGGGCAGAAGGAAUUCCUAGUGUAGCGGUGAAAUGCGUAGAUAUUAGGAAGAACACCGGUGGCGAAAGCGUUCUGCUAGGCCGUAACUGACACUGAGGGACGAAAGCUAGGGGAGCAAAUGGGAUUAGAUACCCCAGUAGUC
RNAcentral lists this ribosomal RNA (408 nucleotides) under uncultured cyanobacterium. Its description in RNAcentral is "bacterial SSU rRNA". It matches the Rfam family "Bacterial small subunit ribosomal RNA", at positions 373 to 795 of the family's 1533-position model. Lineage: Bacteria; Bacillati; Cyanobacteriota. The record is from RNAcentral.